Enhydra lutris kenyoni (northern sea otter) is the source of this 896-nucleotide non-coding RNA. The record is from the annotation of a RefSeq genome assembly. NCBI's taxonomy places the organism in Eukaryota, Metazoa, Chordata, Mammalia, Carnivora, Mustelidae.
GGCUCAGUCCAGCCUCUCAGAAUGAGGUUCCCUGCUCAGCUCCUUGGGCUGCUAAUGCUUUGGUUUCCUGGAUCCAGUGGGGAAAUCGUGAUGACACAGACCCCACUCUCCCUGCCCAUCACCCCCGGAGAGCCGGCCUCCAUCUCCUGCAGGGCCAGUCAGAGCCUCCUGCACAGUGAUGGAAAAACCUAUUUGGGUUGGUUCCGGCAGAAGCCAGGCCAGUCUCCACAGGGCCUGAUCUACUUGGUUUCCAACCGUUACUCCUGGGUCCCAGACAGGUUUAGUGGCAGCGGGUCAGGGACAGAUUUCACCCUGACAAUCAGCAGGGUGGAGGCUGACGAUGUGGGGGUUUAUUACUGUGUGCAAAAUCUACAGUCUCCUCCCACAGUGGUUCAGGCCCAAACACAAAACUCCUGCCUGGGGUCCUGGUUGCCCCAGUGAGCAGCUUCUCUGGGGAACUGACAGGAUGUUCUCUGAGUCUGUGUGAGGGGAAGGAGCUGGAGGCCCCGGGGGAGCCGCUUGCAGCUGGGUGUCUGGCUCCACAUGUUGAGGCUCUGACAGCUGCCCAGCCUGGUGUGUCAGAAGCCGCAGGGAAAUUAAGGGGUCCUGUCCCAUGAGGAGCCAGUUAUGGUGAAGAGAGGAGCUCCUGAGGGCUCCCCUAAUCCUCUGUGCUGUGCCCGUGUGUCUCAAGUAAACGCAGCCACUCUAGUAGACAGACAGGUGACAUAGAUCUGGGACAGAGAAGUGAAUACCUAUUGGAACUGACUGUGUGGGCUCUAUUUAACACGGGAUCAUUUGCUAAUAUUGGUAAUAUUGGUAUUUUCUCACCAUCUCCUUUCCUACUUGUCUACUACUUGCACUGUCUGUCUUUUAACAUGUCCAGAGAGUGAUCUGCA